This is a non-coding RNA of Potamilus streckersoni, 77 nucleotides long. The record is from the annotation of a GenBank genome assembly. NCBI's taxonomy places the organism in Eukaryota, Metazoa, Mollusca, Bivalvia, Unionida, Unionidae.
GACCGCUCCAGGAGCCUAGUGGUUAGAGCGUUCGCCUCGGAUGUGGGAGGUCGUGGGUUCGAUCCCCAGUUGAGUCA